UUAAAAUUGUUGCAGUUAAAAAGCUCGUAGUUGAAUUUCUGCUGCUCCGCAUUUUCCCUUUGAGGGGUUUUUGCGCUGUGGCUUAUUUCGGACUGUGUUUUGCACUGUCCGGAUGUUUACUUUGAGAAAAUUAGAGUGCUCAAAGCAGGCUUUUGCCUUGAAUAGUUUAGCAUGGAAUAAUAAAGUAGGACUUUGGUUCUAUUUUGUUGGUUUUAGGUACCAAAGUAAUGGUUAAUAGGAACAGUKGGGGGCAUUCGUAUUUAACUGUCAGAG
RNAcentral lists this ribosomal RNA (273 nucleotides) under Theileria cervi. Its description in RNAcentral is "partial small subunit ribosomal RNA". It matches the Rfam family "Eukaryotic small subunit ribosomal RNA", at positions 608 to 921 of the family's 1831-position model. Lineage: Eukaryota; Apicomplexa; Aconoidasida; Piroplasmida; Theileriidae. The record is from RNAcentral.